Phascolarctos cinereus (koala) is the source of this 642-nucleotide non-coding RNA. Lineage: Eukaryota; Metazoa; Chordata; Mammalia; Diprotodontia; Phascolarctidae. The record is from RefSeq and is a predicted model, not a curated record.
CAAAUCAAAUUUGGAGCAGCAGAACCAACAAAAAGUUGAGAUCUUAAGCUUGGAAGGGCCUUGUAUCAUCUUGAAUGCCUCCAUCUAGGAAACCUGGGGAGAUCUCCGCAUGGUAUCUGCAGUAUGAUGAAAAUGGCUCACUGGUGGCAAGCACAUGGUUCACAAUAUAACAGAAGAAAGUUUUACUGAAAGGCAGAAAACAGAAGAAAACCCCUUGAAAGCAUAAUCAUUAGUCUCCAAGGUUUGUCCUUGGAAUCAUUAAAAGUAAAAUACAAUUCCUCUGGCUCUGGCCCUGCAUGAGUCUCUCCUUUGCAUGCAACUCUCUGCCAGUAUCCCCGCAGGGUAAUGCUCUACUGUUCUCUGUUGCUACCACAGAUGACUUCAGAUGUUGCUUUUUGGUGUGCUCUGUCUUCUUCAGCUGGUGAAUUCUGGGCAUUACUCUUUUCCUCUACAGCAUGACUAUCUUUCAGUAACUCAAGGCAAAACUUAAAUAUUCCCUGUCAUUCAAUAAGAUUUACCAAAUGGCAAGAAAAUGGAAAAUUUUUUGGAGUUCAUUUCUGACGGGAAUUAGAGAUAUGCAUGGAUGAAAAGGCAUUGAUUAAACAUGUGACAUAGUGAAUAAAGAGGUGGCCUCAAAACCAA